GGGGGUAUGGUGUAACCCGGCAUCAUUGUGGGCUCCAGUUAGGUAUGAUUACAAGAGGGUCAUCUGAUCUGUGAUGAAUAACUGGAGCGAUGACCUAAGAAGAGACCCGCCGAUCUGGGUUCAAAUCCCAGUACCCCCA
Molecule: non-coding RNA, 139 nt
Organism: Thermoplasmatales archaeon SG8-52-4
Lineage: Archaea; Methanobacteriati; Thermoplasmatota; Thermoplasmata; Thermoplasmatales
Source: Rfam